AAUAUUCUCCUUAAUUUAAUGAACAAUGAAAUCUACCAAAUCAAUAAUCACAGUUGUUGAUUACCCUCUAAUCUUCGUUCAAAAUUAAAUUUUAUUUUAUAGACUAAGGGAAAUUUAUUGAAUAGCACUACCCUAUAUAUAUACCUUAAACUUUACAACGUAAAGAACCUUUAUCUUGUAAACUGGUCACAAAAAAAAAACAAUAAAUCUAUGCAGCAACAUUGUGGCCACCCACACACUAGUAUAAUAAGGAAAAUUUUGAUUUAUUUUAUUUAUUUUUUAAAAUAAAAAUAGAAUUUAGUUAUUUUACUAUAUUCUCUACAUUGUACUUAUUUUUU
This 338-nucleotide long non-coding RNA is filed under the name Salvia miltiorrhiza (redroot sage). RNAcentral's name for it is "long non-coding RNA (SMIL_LNC013663)". Lineage: Eukaryota; Viridiplantae; Streptophyta; Magnoliopsida; Lamiales; Lamiaceae. The record is from RNAcentral.